This 118-nucleotide ribosomal RNA is filed under the name Candidatus Aminicenantota bacterium. The record is from RNAcentral. Lineage: Bacteria; Candidatus Aminicenantota.
UCUGGUGACUAUAGCGAAGGGGAAACACCCGUUCCCAUCCCGAACACGGAAGUUAAGCCCUUCAGCGCCGAAAAUACUUGGGGAAGAUAACCCCCGGGAAGAUAGGUCGUCGCCAGAG